GGGAACAUGAACCGGACCACUCUCUCAGCCCGGGCACUUUUGGAGUGGACAAAGAAGACGGGGGCUCUGCGAUCUUGUGUGCUUGCUCACUGGCAAGGCGAACGCAGACUCAGGUUCCUCCAGCAAGGUCCACCUCCGUUUUCCCUUCUGCUUCCCAGGGGCCAAAAGGACACAGGGGUCAACCCAGCACUGAUCCAUCCAGAGGACGCCCACCCACACACCCACACACCAGGCCGUGAGCAAGUCAGCCCCGCGAGCCUUGGUGCUGAGAGCUGUGGAGUCAUUUCAGCCACAUCUUUCUCCUGCGCGCUCUUCCCUGCGGCUUGGAGGCGAGCCUGGAGGAAGAGGAGCCACGGGAGAGGCUGGAAGGCUGAUAAAUAGCCUGGGAGAGAUUUCUGGAUUCCUCUUGCGCAACAAUUCCAUCAUGGCUGUAGAAGAGUCUGUAGCAGUUACAUAAUCUCCUGUCAACUUUCGAAGGGGUGGAGUCUAGCCUGUCAAUCAGGUCAUAGCCUGAUGAC
Echinops telfairi (small Madagascar hedgehog) is the source of this 518-nucleotide long non-coding RNA. RefSeq lists it as uncharacterized. The transcript is spliced from 3 exons. Lineage: Eukaryota; Metazoa; Chordata; Mammalia; Afrosoricida; Tenrecidae. The record is from RefSeq and is a predicted model, not a curated record.